This 261-nucleotide ribosomal RNA is filed under the name uncultured bacterium. Its description in RNAcentral is "partial 16S ribosomal RNA". It matches the Rfam family "Bacterial small subunit ribosomal RNA", at positions 16 to 275 of the family's 1533-position model. The record is from RNAcentral.
GUCCUGGCUCAGGACGAACGCUGGCGGCGUGCCUAACACAUGCAAGUCGAACGGAAGUUAGAGCUUCGGUUUUAACUUUAGUGGCGAACGGGUGAGUAACGCGUGAGGAACCUGCCUUUCAGUGGGGGACAACAGUUGGAAACGACUGCUAAUACCGCAUGACACUUUUGGGGGACAUCCCUUAAAAGUCAAAGCUUUAUGUGCUGAAAGAUGGCCUCGCGUCUGAUUAGCUGGUUGGUGAGGUAACGGCUCACCAAGGCG